UCGUAAGUCAUCUGCCGUAACUUUCAUCAAGGUACUCCCAUCUUCAGCAGAAAGGCAAAGCAUGGAACAGGCUGUGUAAGUGUGUGCUUAAAAUUUUUUCACCCAUAUGGAAUGCCUUAGUUGAGGAACAAUUACUAUUAAUAAUUAACUUGGAUAUUAGAAGUUUGAAAAUUCUUAAAUUUAUCAGAAGGAGAUAAAUUUGACAUUUAUUUCCUAUCUCAAUAAGGACUCAAUUUACUAAAAUUUUAUAUUUUUAUUUGAUAAAAGUUCUUGAUUGUGCUGGAUACCGAGGAUUUCUUGUUAUGGUUUUUUAACUUCUUUUGUUCAGAUUUUUCCUUUGGUUGGAUCCUCUCAAGGUUUCUUUGUAAUAUAUUAUAUGAUUUUCCUUUGGUUUAGUUGGAUCUAAUGUCUAUUGUUGCAAAAAGAUUUUUCUUUUUUUUUAGUUUCUUUUGGUCGAAUUUGACCUUAAAUGAAGUGUAGUGAGGUUGUUUGCUUAUGUUAUACAGAUUUCUUAGAUUUGCUUCGUCGUUUUAAUUUAUUUUUUUAUCAUUAAGUUUUUUUUUGAAUUAUUUUUUUGAUAAUUAAUGAUUCUUUUGUUUUUUUGAUGAGUUUUUGUUGUAUGGGAAAAAAAAAAAGGUGGUUCCUUAUUUUUUCUUUGUUGAUUUUUAUUUGAUUUCUUUAAAAACACAGGAUCACCCGUAGGGAGAGCCGAAAAGUAAUUAACAAAGAUAACUUUCUGAGUGAUGGAAUAGUAUUAUACCAUGGAACAUCCACUUACUCGCUCGCGUGGUAUAAUUACAGUCC
This 804-nucleotide long non-coding RNA is filed under the name Elaeis guineensis (African oil palm). Its description in RNAcentral is "long non-coding RNA (EGUI_LNC002551)". Lineage: Eukaryota; Viridiplantae; Streptophyta; Magnoliopsida; Arecales; Arecaceae. The record is from RNAcentral.